This 333-nucleotide ribosomal RNA is filed under the name Triticum aestivum (bread wheat). RNAcentral's name for it is "partial small subunit ribosomal RNA". The record is from RNAcentral. Lineage: Eukaryota; Viridiplantae; Streptophyta; Magnoliopsida; Poales; Poaceae.
AUGUCCUCUUCAGGCUAUGUCGCCGUUCCUCGAUGCUCGGUGAUCUUCGAUGGCAUGAACUAUGCUGAGUUUGUGGGCUUCAUGCGCAUCCAUAUGUGUGGGCUCCUUUUGUGGGGUGUUCUUUCUGGCGAGGUCCCCUGUCCGCCCUGCCCUGUUGCGCCCGUGGCUCCAAUACCACCGGUGCCGCCGGUCCUUGUUGCCAAUGCUUCUCAGGCUGACCGGGAUACUGCCAAGGCUUUGGAUGAUGCUGCGGUUGAUGCUUAUGAUCAGCAGGUAUCCGCUUAUUCCGAUGCUCUCUCUGUGUACCGGGAUGAUCUGUCUGCUUACACUUAG